Molecule: ribosomal RNA, 467 nt
Filed under: uncultured bacterium
Lineage: Bacteria
Description: partial 16S ribosomal RNA
Rfam family: Bacterial small subunit ribosomal RNA
Source: RNAcentral
ACGAACGCUGGCGGCGUGCUUAACACAUGCAAGUCGAACGGAAAGGCCCUGCUUUUGUGGGGUGCUCGAGUGGCGAACGGGUGAGUAACACGUGAGUAACCUGCCCUUGACUUUGGGAUAACUUCAGGAAACUGGGGCUAAUACCGGAUAGGAGCUCCUGCUGCAUGGUGGGGGUUGGAAAGUUUCGGCGGUUGGGGAUGGACUCGCGGCUUACCAGCUUGUUGGUGGGGUAGUGGCUUACCAAGGCUUUGACGGGUAGCCGGCCUGAGAGGGUGACCGGCCACAUUGGGACUGAGAUACGGCCCAGACUCCUACGGGAGGCAGCAGUGGGGAAUAUUGCACAAUGGGCGGAAGCCUGAUGCAGCAACGCCGCGUGCGGGAUGACGGCCUUCGGGUUGUAAACCGCUUUCGCCUGUGACGAAGCGUGAGUGACGGUAAUGGGUAAAGAAGCACCGGCUAACUACGUG